CCGUGGGGAAAAGCCCCGGGGGGCUAGGCCUCCCCUCCACCGCAAACGGUCUUAUGGCGGGGGGCGUUAACCCCAGGGAAGGCCCUUACCACCUAGGGGUGAUCCGGGGCCUCUGUAUCAAUGACCUCCAGUCCCGUGGGGUUGCCAUGGGGUGAUAGGCCUUUCGUAGGAAAGGCCGAAUCACCUAACAGUCCGAACCGGUUUAGGCCCGGGAGGGAGCGGACCUAAGGACUGGUGGCAACGUUCACGGGGAAGCUGGAGCGAGAUGCAUGCUCCGGUAACCCUUAGGUGAGGGGUCGACCCUGAGGGGAGGCCCACGG
This 320-nucleotide signal recognition particle RNA is filed under the name Thermoprotei archaeon. RNAcentral describes it as "signal recognition particle sRNA". It matches the Rfam family "Archaeal signal recognition particle RNA". The record is from RNAcentral. Lineage: Archaea; Thermoproteati; Thermoproteota; Thermoprotei.